Molecule: ribosomal RNA, 466 nt
Filed under: uncultured Desulfurivibrio sp.
Lineage: Bacteria; Pseudomonadati; Thermodesulfobacteriota; Desulfobulbia; Desulfobulbales; Desulfobulbaceae
Description: bacterial SSU rRNA
Rfam family: Bacterial small subunit ribosomal RNA
Source: RNAcentral
CCUACGGGAGGCUGCAGUGAGGAAUAUUGGACAAUGGGCGCAAGCCUGAUCCAGCGACGCCGCGUGAGUGAUGAAGGCCUUUGGGUCGUAAAGCUCUGUCAGCAGGGAAGAACGGCCGUGCGGUUAAUACCCGUGCGGAUUGACGGUACCUGCAGAGGAAGCACCGGCUAACUCCGUGCCAGCAGCCGCGGUAAUACGGAGGGUGCGAGCGUUAAUCGGAAUUACUGGGCGUAAAGGGCGCGUAGGCGGCUGAUCAAGUCAGGUGUGAAAGCCCGGGGCUCAACCCUGGACGUGCAUUUGAAACAGCAAGACUUGAGUACGGGAGAGGAAAGCGGAAUUCCUGGUGUAGAGGUGAAAUUCGUAGAUAUCGGGAGGAAUACCGGUGGCGAAGGCGACUUUCUGGACGAAUACUGACGCUGAGGCGCGAAAGCGUGGGGAGCAAACAGGAUUAGAUACCCUGGUAGUC